GCACUCUUCCAUGGCUUCCCACACACCCUUGUAGUCCAAUGGUACAAGAUCUUCUUUGGGUAUAAGGCUUUGUAAUUUCUCACUUGGCUUUGCACUGAUGGGCCAGUGAAUGAGAUAGAGGUCAACAUAGUCCAUCUGAAGGGUCCUGCAUGCGUGUGGGUAUAAUAUAAAUAUAUACACAUCAAUAAGCUACACUUAAUUAAUUAGAACUCAUGUAUAGUAUUCAAAACGGAAAAAAUAUAUAUAUAUAUAUAUUAUUGGUGUUCUGUUCAUCUCUUUUAAUCCAUCUUGAACGUUAAUAUGUUCCAAUGAAAAAAAAGAAAACAAGAUAAGCAUUUUGAGACCUACAUAUCGGGAGGAAAAAAAAUCAAUUUUCUUUCCCAAUCUUCAUAAUUGAACCAAGAAGGACAAAACCAUAAAUCUAGUUUGCUUGAGUAAUUAUUAAGAAUGAAUUCAUUAUAAAGAAGAAAAAUGCCCUCUCCAUCCUUAAGAUUUGAUGUAAUAGGUCAUUUCAUCAUUUUUAUUUAAAUAAUAACUCAUUUCAUCUCUAUUUUUUAAAUAAUAGCCUAAAACGUUCUUCCCUUAAUUUACUGCCAGUAACUAUAUAAUUCAUUAAAGACAAAACAGAAUUUCCAAAUAAUGAUAAAUUAUUUUAAAAUAAACUCUCAAACACAAUUUUAAAAAAAAAAAAUUCUACUUUUCUGCAUAAAUUUAAAAUUUAAGGAUAACUUAAUAAAUAAACAAUAAUAACACUAAGCAAUAUGUAAAAUAUAUAUUUAGGACCAAAAAAAAAAAGAUUUCACAAGCAUUAGAGUAUUUUUUUUUUAAUCCUUUAGCUUAUCCUUGAUUUUAAUAUGAAAAAAAUAAACAAAUAAAUAAAUAAUCAAUAAGUAUUGUUAUUCUACCAAAAGUAAGCACAAACUUCUUUAUUUAUUUAAAAAAAUACACACUAAAGACAUGAAAACACAUAUUUAAAAAUACUACAAAAUAAGAUACAUUGCAUUAGAGUAUUUUUUUUAAUCUUUUAGCUUAUAUUUGACCUCAAUAUGAAUAGUGAUUCUUGGAAAAUUAUUGUCAUUAUUUUUGUUUGUUGUUGUUGUUAUAUUAAAAAAUUUAGUUGACUUCAUUAAAAAAAAAAAAUUAAUGAGCACACACAUAUGCGUAUAUACACAUACGCGCGCGCACACAUAUGCGUAUAUACACAUACGCGCGCGCACACAUACACACACAUAUAUAUUCCUUCUUUAAUACGAACACCUUCAUUUUUUUUUUUAUGCAGACACAUUUUUAAGCAACGAGAUUUAAUACGUUAGUUUUCAAGCCUGUUACCCCACGACUUUAUAGGGUAUUUAAAAUCCAUAUGGUUUAACGUCAUGUCCGCACUAAAAAAAAAAGAGGGCACUCGCACUUGAAAAUGAUUAUAUGUGUUUGUGUGUGUGUGUGUGUGUGUAUGUAUUUUUUAUUUUAUUAAGUUAUCCUUAAAUUUUAAAUUUAUACAAAAAAGUUAGAUGUUAUUUAAUUAUUCUUGAGAUUUUUAUUUUAAAAUAGUUUGCAUUUAUUUAACUAAAAAUUCUAUUUUGCUCGCAAUAGAUUAUAGAGUAAACUAAUUGUAAAUACAUAAAAGGAUAUUUUGGGCUAUUGUUUGAAAAAUAAAGAUGAAACGGGCUAUUGUUUAAAAAAUAAGUAUGAAAUGAGAUAUUGUACCAAACCCUAAGGAUGAAAAGGAUUUUUUUUUUUUUUUAAAGAGUCGCAACUUCAACAUAUAAGACAUUUUCAAUUAUGUUCAUGAGAGAAAGCAAGUUAAAUUCUUCAACUCAUUGGAGCACUGAUUUCAAUUAAAUUUACAAAGCCAAAGACUUAAAUAACGAAUGAAAUUAAAAGUUAAUAAAAAUAAAAAUAAUUAAUAAUAACUAAAAUAAUAAAGUUAAUAAAAUUUAAUAAUAAUCAUUAUUAUUAUUAUUAUUAAUGACAUUUAAAAUAAUAAAAUUAUUUGUGAUUUGAACAAGGAUAAUUUAGGAAAUAUGAAAAAAUUAGAAGGAUAGAAAAGUAAAUUUAUGUUUCAUUUCCAUUCCCAACCCCUCUCGUGAGAAUGGAAUUCCCAUUCCUUAUUCCGAAAUUAUGUAGAAUACACACAUUUUAUUUCCAUUAUCAAAUUACAUUUUGCCAAAUAAAUAUAGAUUUUAUUACCAUUCUCCAAACUCACAAGUAAACACACCAUUAUUCUAUUAGAUAAGUAAUAAUAAAUUUUCUAAAGGGAUAAUUGUAAUUCAUUCCAUUCCAAUGCUAGUGCUCGAGCCUUCAGCACUACGGCAGACAAUAGGCACUAAAAAGUUCACCCUCAAGGAGUCAAAUUGAGAUAGAAAGGAAUGCCAGUAGAAUUUAGCCAUUCACUUCCUUGCAAGAAUGGCCCGGCCGUAAAUUGAGCUGCCACAGCCGAGUUAUUGAUCACCCUGUAACCAGGCCACGUCACUCUGGCACUCGUGUUAGAACCAGGGCCCCUGUUCUUGUACUCCCCAUAAAAGAGUGUACUCAAUGCAAAUGUACCAUUCCAUUCUAACCAUCCAGCCGGCGCUAUCAAAUCGCCCAAAUAAGAUAGCAUAAAAACCGUCCUCGAAUAUUCUUUCCAAGGACGACCAAGGUAUGUUUUAAACUCUGUUUGAUAUGGAAUCAAGUCCGAAGCAGCAGCAGGUACAGCAGUUAAUAAAAUUUAAUAAUAAUCAUUAUUAUUAUUAUUAUUAAUGACAUUUAAAAUAAUAAAAUUAUUUGUGAUUUGAACAAGGAUAAUUUAGGAAAUAUGAAAAAAUUAGAAGGAUAGAAAAGUAAAUUUAUGUUUCAUUUUCAUUCCCACAUUUUCAUUGCCAACCCCCCCAUAGAAAUGAGAUUCCCAUUUUUUAUUCCCAAAUUGUGUGGGACCCACACAAUUUAUUCCCAUUCUCAAAUUCAAUUUUGUCAAGUAAAUAUAGCUUUAAUUCUCAUUCCUCCAUUCUCAUUCUUUAUUCCAAGAAGUAAACACACCAUUAGUCUCUUUUUGGUUUAGAAUUUAUAGUUCUUAAUUACUUUAUAGUUAGGUACUCCCUUACUUUAGUUUAAGUUUUAGGUAUUGUCUUAUAUAUUGUACUUAAGCCUGACCUUGUAUUUGCACCUAUAUAAUGACGUCUUAUAGGUCUUUCUUGACCUCAGUAAUACAUGUUAUUAUUUUCCUCCAAAAAAAAAAAAGCAUGCCCAAUGCAUUAUUAAUUGUACUUUCUUUCCAACAUUUCAUUGAAUUUGUGUUAUUUUUGUUCCAUGAUAUAAUUCUAGCCAUAGUUAUGUGAUUUGAUUUUUAAGUAAUAAAUAUAAAUUGUCCUUCUUUAAUACAGGUACCCUCAUUUUUUUUUCACGUGGACAUGCUAUUAUACCAUACGGCUUAAUAGAGUUAUUUUUUAAUACUAUUAAACUACAUGGUUUUAUAGUAUCUUGAAAAUCAAUUCUAUUAAUCCACAUAGCUUAACAGCGUAUUCGCAUUAAAACAACACUCCAUUUAUUAAAUAUAUUACAUCCUACCCUUGCUUUUCCUUUCAUUUUACAAUGAUACCCUUGUAAUAUCACUCUAGGGGAUAUUAAUUGAAAAAGAUAAUUUAUCAAACUAACCUAAAAAAGAAUAUAAAAAAUUACAUAAAUUUUAUAUUAUUAUUUUACAUUUAGGCUUAACUUGGUAAACUAAAUUUUUAUAAAAUAAUUAUUAGUAAGAUUAUUGUAAAGAUAUUAAGCAUGGUUUCAAGUUGGCUAAUAUUAAUUAAUUUAUAAAUAAUUAUUAGUAAGAUUGUUGCACAAAUACAAAAAUAAUAGUUCUUUUGUAAUGAUAAUUAUUAAUUAAUUUACUAAUAAAUAAUUAUUAGUUAAUUUGUAAAUUAAUUUUGUUAUAGAUAAAUUAAUUAAUGUCAAGAAUAUUGUUACAAGGAUAUUAUUUAAAAGAAAAAAAUAACGGUUAAAAAUACAAAAGAUAGUAUUUAAAGGGGAAAAAUAAAAAAUAAAAAUAUAACAUAUUUAAUUACAAGAGUAUGUUGAGAUAUUUUUUAAAAUAUAAAGACUAAACGGAUAUUUAAAUCAAAAUAUAAAGACUAAACGAACAUUUAGUCGUAUAUAAAUUUUUAAGUACAGGUGUUCUUAUUUUUUUUUAUACGGACAUGUUAUUCAAUGUUUAAUUUACUAUAGAGUGGGGUUAUUUGCACUCAAAAAAUUACUUUGGACACUCUAAUUUUAAUAAAAAUAUAUAUUACAAAAAUACCCAUACUAUGAAUUACUAUUAAGGACAAUUUAUUAUAAGUCAAUAUUAUAUAAUUAUUUUGAACAUACAUAUAACUCAUUAUUUAUUUUUAAUUAUCAUACUUUAAACCCUAAAACUUUUAUUUUCCAUAUCAUAAUUAACAUUUAGAUGAAUAAUAAGGAAACCAAUUUUUUAAAAAAAUUAAUUGCACAGUAUGUGUAAUAAAUUUUAUUUUUAAAAAAUAAAAUAAAAAAGUACUGUGAACAAACUUUCUUUUUGGCUUUCGCCAUUCUCCUCAUAUUCUUCGUCUUUACGUCUUCCUCUUCUCUUUUUUCUGCUUCAUCCCUUCUUCUCAUCUUCUUCAUCUCUAUGACUUCUUUCUUUUUCUUUUUUUUUUUUGGUAGUAUCUAUGGAAUAUAAUUUUUUUAUUAUAUUCUCAUUCCAAGUUAUUUUAGGUGUGAAAUUCAAUAUUGAACAUAAAUGACUAAAAAAUUAAUAAUUAAAACUAUAUUAAAUAAUGUUUUUACAACUUAACUUAAUUAUAUUGUUGUAAGUACAUGUUAAAUCAUUUAAAAUUAGUGUGCUGAAUAGUUUUAUUAAUGUUUUAAGUAAAUAAAGUUAAAAAAUUAAAUCAUUUAUUAUAACGUUAUAUAAUUUAAUAAUGUGUCGGCACAAACUAUUAAAUCAUAUAACUUAUUUAAAAAAAAUGAGGACCAGUACUACCUAAGAGACUUCUUCAAAGCUGGGACAACGAGGUCACGAUGAGCGUCAUUCAACCAGAGCUUAGUAGUAAUGAAGAGGUCUUGGCGAGUAGUGAGAAGCCCAAGUUUAAGUGCUUCAUCGAUUGCUUCUCCAAGAGCCCUCUCUGUCCCGUACUCUGAAGCUGUGUCAAAGUGUCUGUAACCGAGCUUGAUUGCUUCCAUUACUGCACACUUCAUGACAUUUUCAUCCUUCUUGUCA
This 5206-nucleotide long non-coding RNA is filed under the name Citrus sinensis (sweet orange). RNAcentral describes it as "long non-coding RNA (CSIN_LNC004037)". The record is from RNAcentral. Lineage: Eukaryota; Viridiplantae; Streptophyta; Magnoliopsida; Sapindales; Rutaceae.